AUACCUUUCUCGGCCUUUUGGCUAAGAUCAAGUGUAGUAUCUGUUCUUAUCAGUUUAAUAUCUGAUGCGUGAACCAUUGGUUCACAUGGUAUUAUAUUUAUUUUUGAAGGGAGAGGACCCUUAAAUGUAGCUUGCUACUGUUGUCCUCGUGCAUCGCCCACUACAGCACGGGGCUGGUGCAUCCCAU
This is a small nuclear RNA of Abrus precatorius (Indian licorice), 187 nucleotides long. RefSeq annotates it as U2 spliceosomal RNA. NCBI's taxonomy places the organism in Eukaryota, Viridiplantae, Streptophyta, Magnoliopsida, Fabales, Fabaceae. The transcript has a single exon. The record is from RefSeq and is a predicted model, not a curated record.